UACAGAGGGUGCGAGCGUUGUCCGGAAUCACUGGGCGUAAAGGGCGCGUAGGUGGUGGCUUAAGCGUGCGGUGAAAGCUCGGGGCUCAACCCCGAGUCGGCCGUGCGAACUGGGCUCACUGGAGCAUAGUAGAGGCAGGUGGAAUUCCGGGUGUAGCGGUGGAAUGCGUAGAGAUCCGGAAGAACACCGGUGGCGAAGGC
RNAcentral lists this ribosomal RNA (200 nucleotides) under uncultured bacterium. RNAcentral's name for it is "partial 16S ribosomal RNA". It matches the Rfam family "Bacterial small subunit ribosomal RNA", at positions 524 to 722 of the family's 1533-position model. The record is from RNAcentral.